GGUUGUUAUUUAGUGGCGGAAGGGUUAGUAAUACAUAGAUAAUCUGNCCUCAACUUGGGAAUAACGGUUGGAAACGACCGCUAAUACCGAAUGUGGUAUGUUUAGGCAUCUAAAACAUAUUAAAGAAGGGGAUCUUCGGACCUUUCGGUUAAGGNAGAGUCUAUGGGAUAUCAGCUUGUUGGUGGGGUAAUGGCCUACCAAGGUUUUGACGUCUAGGCGGAUUGAGAGAUUGACCG
This 236-nucleotide ribosomal RNA is filed under the name Chlamydia felis. RNAcentral describes it as "partial 16S ribosomal RNA". It matches the Rfam family "Bacterial small subunit ribosomal RNA", at positions 83 to 306 of the family's 1533-position model. The record is from RNAcentral. Lineage: Bacteria; Pseudomonadati; Chlamydiota; Chlamydiia; Chlamydiales; Chlamydiaceae.